UACUCCUACGGGAGGCAGCAGUAAGGAAUAUUGGUCAAUGGACGCAAGUCUGAACCAGCCAUGCCGCGUGUGUGAAGAAGGUCUUCGGAUUGUAAAGCACUUUAAGUUGGGAGGAAGGGCAGUAAGUUAAUACCUUGCUGUUUUGACGUUACCGACAGAAUAAGCACCGGCUAACUCUGUG
This 181-nucleotide ribosomal RNA is filed under the name uncultured Pseudomonas sp. RNAcentral describes it as "partial 16S ribosomal RNA". It matches the Rfam family "Bacterial small subunit ribosomal RNA", at positions 334 to 507 of the family's 1533-position model. The record is from RNAcentral. Lineage: Bacteria; Pseudomonadati; Pseudomonadota; Gammaproteobacteria; Pseudomonadales; Pseudomonadaceae.